This 392-nucleotide ribosomal RNA is filed under the name uncultured bacterium. Its description in RNAcentral is "partial 16S ribosomal RNA". It matches the Rfam family "Bacterial small subunit ribosomal RNA", at positions 523 to 918 of the family's 1533-position model. The record is from RNAcentral.
AUACGGGGGAUCCGAGCGUUAUCCGGAUUUAUUGGGUUUGAAGGGUGCGCAGGCGGCCAUUUACGUCAGCGGUUAAAUCGUGGGGCUCAACCCCAUUCUGCCGUUGAUACUGGGUGGCUUGAUUGCGGUCGAGGUUGGCGGAAUUCGGUGUGUAGCGGCGAAAUGCAUAGAUAUGACGAAGAACACCGAUUGCGUAGGCAGCUGACCAGACCGCAAAUGACGCUCAUGCACGAAAGUGCGGGGAUCGAACAGGAUUAGAUACCCUGGUAGUCCGCACAGUAAACGAUGAAUACUUGUUUUCGGCGAUAUAAUGUCGGAGGCAAAGCGAAAGCGAUAAGUAUUCCACCUGGGGAGUACGCCGGCAACGGUGAAACUCAAAGGAAUUGACGGGG